GAUGAAGAACGUAGCGAAAUGCGAUAAGUAGUGUGAAUUGCAGAAUUCAGUGAAUCAUCGAAUCUUUGAACGCACAUUGCGCCCUUUGGUAUUCCAAAGGGCAUGCCUGUUCGAGCGUCAUUUGUACCCUCAAGCUUUGCUUGGUGUUGGGCGUCUUGUCUCCAGUUCGCUGGAGACUCGCCUUAAAGUAAUUGGCAGCCGGCCUACUGGUUUCGGAGCGCAGCACAAGUCGCGCUCUCUUCCAGCCAAGGUCAGCAUCCACAAAGCCUUUUUUCAACUUUUGACCUCGGGUCAGGUAGGGAUACCCGCUGAACUUAAGCAUAUCAAUAAGCGGAGGA
Molecule: unclassified non-coding RNA, 338 nt
Filed under: soil metagenome
Description: partial contains 5.8S ribosomal RNA, internal transcribed spacer 2, and large subunit ribosomal RNA
Rfam family: 5.8S ribosomal RNA (bases 1-120)
Source: RNAcentral